RNAcentral lists this unclassified non-coding RNA (261 nucleotides) under Hevea brasiliensis (rubber tree). The record is from RNAcentral. Lineage: Eukaryota; Viridiplantae; Streptophyta; Magnoliopsida; Malpighiales; Euphorbiaceae.
CUCGACAAUGCCCACGCGGUUGACAUCCAGCCCUCGAAUGAUCGGGCGGCUCGAUGCACCGGGCGCGAACGAUGAUCCGGUGAUGCCCGGCUUGUUAUUGAGAAGAUCGCCGAGGGUCGAAGCCGCGCUGCGGCGGAUUUCCUCAUUGGGCACCACGGUAACGGUGGCGAACUGAUCGGUGACGAUCGGCAGGGUGCCGGCAUAGGUCUCAGGAUUAGGUGCAGGUGCUGCGGGUGAUGGCGCUGCGGCUGUGGUGCGGCC